AGGGUCCAGUAGGUCCUACAGAGUCCAGUAGGCCAUAAAGGGUCCAGUAGGUCCUACAGAGUCCAGUAGGUCCUACAGAGUCCAGUAUGUUCUGCAGGGUCCAGUAGGUCCUACAGAGUCCAGUAGGUCAUAAAGGGUCCAGUAGGUCCUAUAGAGUCCAGUAGGCCAUAAAGGGUCCAGUAGGUCCUACAGAGUCCAGUAGGUCCUACAGAGUCCAGUAUGUUCUGCAGGGUCCAGUAGGUCCUACAGAGUCCAGUAGGUCAUAAAGGGUCCAGUAGGUCAUACAGAGUCCAAUAGGUCAUAAAGGGUCCAGUAGGUCAUAAAGGGUCCAGUAGGUCAUACAGAGUCCAGUAGGUCAUAAAGGGUCCAGUAGGUGCUACAGGGUCCAGUAGGUCAUAAAGGGUCCAGUAGGUCCUACAGAGUCCAGUAGGCCAUAAAGGGUCCAGUAGGUCAUACAGAGUCCAAUAGGUCAUAAAGGGUCCAGUAGGUCAUAAAGGGUCCAGUAGGUCAUACAGAGUCCAGUAGGUCAUACAGAGUCCAGUAGGUCAUAAAGGGUCCAGUAGGUCCUACAGAGUCCAGUAGGUCAUAAAGGGUCCAGUAGGUCCUACAGGGUCCAGUAGGUGCUACAGAGUCCAGUAGGUCAUAAAGGGUCCAGUAGGUCCUACAGGGUCCAGUAGAUCAUACAGAGUCCAGUAGGUCAUAAAGGGUCCAGUAGGUCCUACAGGGUCCAGUAGGUCAUACAGAGUCCAGUAGGUCAUACAGAGUCCAGUAGGUCAUAAAGGGUCCAGUAGGUCAUACAGAGUCCAGUAGGUCAUACAGAGUCCAGUAGGUCAUACAGAGUCCAGUAGGUCAUACAGAGUCCAAUAGGUCAUAAAGGGUCCAGCAGGUCCUACAGGGUCCAGUAGGUCCUACAGAGUCCAGUAGAUCAUACAGGGUCCAGUAGGUCAUACAGGGUCCAUUAGGUCCUACAGGGUCCAGUAGGUCCUAUACUUCAUGUGGAUCCAGGUAAGGGGGUCCAGACCACCUGAUUAAGGGGUUCGGUCAGCCUCAGGUCACGUGAUUAAACUUGUUGCACAUUAAAUGUUUCUUCAGGUUCGGUUUAAUGAGACCGUCCCCCUGGUUCUGGUUCUGGUUCUGGUGGAUCAUCCUCCAGCUGCUGGGAAUCAUCUGAUGGAUCAAACCAUUCAGGGGGUCCCACCCGGGCUUCAACGGACCCAAAAGUCCUGGUGGUUCUGACAGCACCACAGCUACCGUCCGUCUGAGGAGCUGACUCAGGUUCGGUGGUUCUGAUCCGGUAUCUCAGAUUCUUUUUACAGUCGGGUCAGUUUUUAGUCUCGAACACGUCUUAGUCCGCUCCGUGUGUCCGGUCUGCGGUGAGCUGCUGCUAGCUGCGUCAAGCUAACGACCGGAAGAGACAAGAACCGGAAGUGAAGUCAACAUCCUUCAAAAUAAACUUGAAACGUGUUGCUGUAAAAAACAUGUGAAGAAUCCAAAAUAAAUCAGACAAGAAUGAAGAAGUCCAGAACCUGAACCUGACUGAAACCCUGUGGUGGGGAACCUCAGAACCAGAGAGUUCUGCUGCUGAAGGAGGUUCUGUUGGCUCAGAACCAGUUUCUGUUCAGGUUCUGUACAAUAAAAUAAAGACACAAACUUUAA
Long non-coding RNA from Austrofundulus limnaeus, 1656 nucleotides. RefSeq lists it as uncharacterized. The transcript is spliced from 2 exons. NCBI's taxonomy places the organism in Eukaryota, Metazoa, Chordata, Actinopteri, Cyprinodontiformes, Rivulidae. The record is from RefSeq and is a predicted model, not a curated record.